Long non-coding RNA from Alosa sapidissima (American shad), 135 nucleotides. RefSeq lists it as uncharacterized. Lineage: Eukaryota; Metazoa; Chordata; Actinopteri; Clupeiformes; Clupeidae. The record is from RefSeq and is a predicted model, not a curated record. The transcript has 2 exons.
GUGUGAGAGAAGGUGAGUGUGUGUGUGUCAGUGGUUUGUGGGUGUAGACAGGUAUAGUAGUGCCAAAAAUGUGUGUGUGUGUGUGUGUGUGUGUGUGUGUGUGUGUGUGUGUGUGUGUGUGUGUGUGUGUGUGUG